RNAcentral lists this non-coding RNA (179 nucleotides) under Chloroflexota bacterium. Its description in RNAcentral is "Chloroflexi bacterium (freshwater metagenome) 6S RNA". It matches the Rfam family "6S / SsrS RNA". From Rfam's summary of the family: E. coli 6S RNA was the first non coding RNA to be sequenced, but its function was unknown until recently. It consists of 184 nucleotides that fold into an extended hairpin structure with a large single-stranded internal bulge. The record is from RNAcentral. Lineage: Bacteria; Bacillati; Chloroflexota.
UAGACCCGGCUAUGUCCGUGAUGCCUGAAUGACGUUUUGAGCCAACAACUCUGACCUGGGAGCUAAACGCUAGAGGGGCUGCGCAAGUCCUUGGCUGGACUAGGCAAUAACCGACAGGUGAGCACCCACUUGGUUACUCAGGUUCAAAGCAGAGUUGCACACGGCAUAGCGGGGUCUUU